CAGUAGCCACGGGAAUACGUAGGGUGCAAGCGUUAAUCGGAAUUACUGGGCGUAAAGCGUGCGCAGGCGGUUUGUUAAGACAGAUGUGAAAUCCCCGGGCUCAACCUGGGAACUGCAUUUGUGACUGGCGAGCUAGAGUAUGGCAGAGGGGGGUAGAAUCCCACGUGUAGCAGUGAAAUGCGUAGAGAUGUGGAGGAAUACCGAUGGCGAAGGCAGCCCCCUGGGCCAAUACUGACGCUCAUGCACGAAAGCGUGGGGAGCAAACAGGAUUAGAUACCCGAGUAGUCCCUGUCUCUUAUAC
Molecule: ribosomal RNA, 301 nt
Filed under: uncultured bacterium
Lineage: Bacteria
Description: partial 16S ribosomal RNA
Rfam family: Bacterial small subunit ribosomal RNA
Source: RNAcentral